CGAUGCUAAUAUUACUAGACAAACUAUAUAACCACAAACACGUUCAAGUCAAAACAUAAAAUGAAAUGUCACUGUUACGCGUUCAACAGAGACUUCAAAAAGUUGUUCAUUGCCCCAAGUUACUUCUACCAAGUCAUCCAAGAACAAGUGAAUAGUGCUCAACAACAAUCAAACUUAUCAACCUGUCUAAGUAGCAUUGAACAAAUUCAAUUAACGUUUCUGAAAAUGGUAACUUUUAGAAGCACAGCUUCACUAUUAUUAAGCUCAAAGAUGCAAACAUCUCCCACUUGCAGAAAAUUUUCCUUUGCAAAUUUAGGCCACCCACCUGAUAACGCAGCUGUACCACAAGAUUGAUACCUGACCAAUUUCACAGGCCACCGUCUGCUCUCAACUUGUAAAAUUACUUUGUUCAUGCCAUGCUUUGUACUUUCCGCAGCAAGAUUUAGCGGUACAGGCUACACAAUGAAAACACUGAGGUGCGCCUAUAGGUGGGACGAAUGAUCACUUUGAAGAAAGGAUUCACUGAGGUAACUUUCUUGGCAGCUUCGAUAGCGCCGAGAGCCUUUGCUGAAUUCCCUGGAUAAAACUCCCUGUGGACAAGACUUUCUUCAUGUUUCAAUUGCUUGCUGUUUCCUUCAUGAAACCAACUAAAUCAGAGUAAAAGUUUGUUUCCUGAAGGACAUUGAGCUAAAUUGUAACUAUAAGUUAAAUAAUUGGAUUCAUAAAUUGUAACUGACCAAGUGAUGGGUUGCCAUUUCCAUCUUUGAUGUAUUGGAAAAUGACUACUUUCAAUGUAAUUUCAAUGCGAUUAAUCAGUUCAAAAACACAAACAUCACGAACGUCCAAGUGAUUUUCUUUUGCAAAUUUUCUCCAGCCAUAAUUUAAUUUAGCUGAUAGUUUAUUUCCACUGUAUUCCUUAUACGAAUACCGUACAGACCAAAAUUUCCCAUCAACUGUAUUGAGGGUGACAGCCCCACUUUUUUUGAAAUAUUCCCUGGCAACGCUUGCUGGUAUACUCAUGAAGUAAGGAUUUCCAGAUUUGAGGCUUGUGCUUGCUCUGCGAAGUGCAUUAGCUUUCUCCUCAGCUGUCAAUGGUUUUCUUCUCGCCACAGCUCCAUCCAAUGUUUUCUUCUCAUUGGACAUGCCUUUAAAUUGUUCAGUGGGGAGGUGUUCAUUUGUGUUUUCUGAGGGAUUCUCUACCUUCAUCUUCUUAUGAACCUGAGGGAAUGGUAAUGAUGAUUUAUCUUUUGUUUUUCGGGAUGGGGGGGAAUGACCCACAUCAUUUUCAUUUUCAUCAAUCUUUGGCCCUGGGAAUUCUUGCUCAAGAUUAGGCUCUCCAUUAUCUCUAUUGCUGAUGCUAAAUGGAUAGUCUAUCUCCAAGGCACUCUUGUCAAUUAUGAUUACGUUGAACUGACAAUUUUGUUCAUAUUAAAAAAUUAUGAAGGAUCCAAGGGCCAGAGAGUAAUGCCCCGCAAAUUUCUGCCACCCAUUUUUUAACCAGAUCUCACCAUCACAUUUCACCAGCUCUACCUUCCAUUUUUCACCACUAGGGACCUUCAGGACUGCCGGACUUGACAGAUCACUUCCAUAUCUCCUGACAAACUUUCUUGGAAUGCCCUCUUGUUAAAUUUGGGUCGUCUCUACACCUCAUCGAAUCCCUUUGUUUUGACAUAGAGAGUUGGCUCACUUGCACUCUUCUGAAAACCAUGCUUAUUGAAAUGUCCAUCAAUUCUCUAGUACCAGGCCCUUGGAGCUUGUUU
This 1760-nucleotide unclassified non-coding RNA is filed under the name Hevea brasiliensis (rubber tree). The record is from RNAcentral. Lineage: Eukaryota; Viridiplantae; Streptophyta; Magnoliopsida; Malpighiales; Euphorbiaceae.